RNAcentral lists this ribosomal RNA (773 nucleotides) under uncultured bacterium. RNAcentral's name for it is "bacterial SSU rRNA". It matches the Rfam family "Bacterial small subunit ribosomal RNA", at positions 55 to 836 of the family's 1533-position model. The record is from RNAcentral.
AUGCAGUCGAACGAUUCUUAAGAUGUUUACAUCUUAAAUGAUAGUGGCAAACGGGAGAGUAACACAUUGGUAACCUACCUCGAAGAUCGGCAUAACGGCCCGAAAGGGUCGCUAAUACCGGAUGUGGUCAUCAGACACAAGUCUGAUGAGUAAAGGCCAAAAUCCACUUCGAGAGGGGCCUAUGGCCUAUCAGCUUGUUGGUGAGGUAAAAGCUCACCAAGGCUACGACGGGUAUCGGGUGUGAGAGCAUGAACCGACUCACUGGGACUGAGACACUGCCCAGACACCUACGGGUGGCUGCAGUCAAGAAUCUUCCACAAUGGGGGAAACCCUGAUGGAGCGACGCCGCGUGCAGGAUGAAGGCCUUAGGGUCGUAAACUGCUUUUAUAUGGGACGAAGUUUCGGCUGACGGUACCAUAUGAAUAAGGGGUUGCUAACUCUGUGCCAGCAGCAGCGGUAACACAGAGACCUCAAGCGUUAUCCGGAUUUAUUGGGCGUAAAGCGUCCGCAGGUGGCUUAUUAAGUCUCAUGUCAAAUCUUCGGGCUUAACCCGAAGACUGCGUGGGAUACUGGUAAGCUAGAGGAUGGGAGAGGUAAGCGGAAUUGCCGGUGUAGUAGUAAAAUGCGUUAAUAUCGGCAAGAACACCAAAGGCGAAGGCAGCUUACUGGAACAUUCCUGACACUAAUGGACGAAAGCGUGGGGAGCGAAGCGGAUUAGAUACCCGCGUAGUCCACGCUGUAAACGAUGAGUGCUGGAUAUUGGGAGUAUCGAC